ACGAACGCUGGCGGCGUGCUUAACACAUGCAAGUCGCACGGAAAGGCCCUGCUUUUGUGGGGUGCUCGAGUGGCGAACGGGUGAGUAACACGUGAGUAACCUGCCCUUGACUUUGGGAUAACUUCAGGAAACUGGGGCUAAUACCGGAUAGGAGCUCCUGCUGCAUGGUGGGGGUUGGAAAGUUUCGGCGGUUGGGGAUGGACUCGCGGCUUAUCAGCUUGUUGGUGGGGUAGUGGCUUACCAAGGCUUUGACGGGUAGCCGGCCUGAGAGGGUGACCGGCCACAUUGGGACUGAGAUACGGCCCAGACUCCUACGGGAGGCAGCAGUGGGGAAUAUUGCACAAUGGGCGGAAGCCUGAUGCAGCAACGCCGCGUGCGGGAUGACGGCCUUCGGGUUGUAAACCGCUUUCGCCUGUGACGAAGUGUGAGUGACGGUAAUGGGUAAAGAAGCACCGGCUAACUACGUG
RNAcentral lists this ribosomal RNA (467 nucleotides) under uncultured bacterium. RNAcentral describes it as "partial 16S ribosomal RNA". It matches the Rfam family "Bacterial small subunit ribosomal RNA", at positions 29 to 507 of the family's 1533-position model. The record is from RNAcentral.